AUUGAACGCUGGCGGCAGGCCUAACACAUGCAAGUCGAGCGGAGCGGCGGACGGGUGAGUAAUGCCUAGGAGUCUGCCUGGUAGUGGGGGCUAACGUCCGGAAACGGGCGCUAAUCCCGCAUACGCUCAAAUGAGUUUAGGUGGGAUUAGCUAGUUGGUGGGGUAAAGGCCUACCAAGGCAACGAUCCGUAACUGGUCUGAGAGGAUGAUCAGUCACACUGGAACUGAGACACGGUCCAGACUCCUACGGGAGGCAGCAGUGGGGAAUAGUGGACAAUGGGCGAAAGCCUGAUGCAGCCAUGCCGCGUGUGUGAAGAAGGUCUUCGGAUUGUAAAGCACUUUAAGUUGGGAGGCGUUACCAACAGAAUAAGCACCGGCUAACUUCGUGCCAGCAGCCGCGGUAAUAC
Molecule: ribosomal RNA, 407 nt
Filed under: uncultured bacterium
Lineage: Bacteria
Description: partial 16S ribosomal RNA
Rfam family: Bacterial small subunit ribosomal RNA
Source: RNAcentral